GCGUUUGUGGUUUAGUGGUAAAAUCCAUCGUUGCCAUCAUCUUCUCUUCAUCGGAAGAGAUCUUGAAAUAACAUCGAUGGGCCCCGGGUUCGAUUCCCGGCGAACGCA
Molecule: transfer RNA, 108 nt
Filed under: Sclerotinia sclerotiorum 1980 UF-70
Lineage: Eukaryota; Fungi; Ascomycota; Leotiomycetes; Helotiales; Sclerotiniaceae
Description: tRNA-Gly for anticodon GCC
Rfam family: tRNA
About the family: Transfer RNA (tRNA) molecules are approximately 80 nucleotides in length. Their secondary structure includes four short double-helical elements and three loops (D, anti-codon, and T loops). Further hydrogen bonds mediate the characteristic L-shaped molecular structure. tRNAs have two regions of fundamental functional importance: the anti-codon, which is responsible for specific mRNA codon recognition, and the 3' end, to which the tRNAs corresponding amino acid is attached (by aminoacyl-tRNA synthetases). tRNAs cope with the degeneracy of the genetic code in two manners: having more than one tRNA (with a specific anti-codon) for a particular amino acid; and 'wobble' base-pairing, i.e. permitting non-standard base-pairing at the 3rd anti-codon position.
Source: Rfam by way of RNAcentral